Molecule: small nuclear RNA, 106 nt
Filed under: Spermophilus dauricus (Daurian ground squirrel)
Lineage: Eukaryota; Metazoa; Chordata; Mammalia; Rodentia; Sciuridae
Source: RNAcentral
GUGCUUGCUUCAGCAGCAUAAAUACUAACUUUGGAACAAUACAGAGAAGAUGAGCAUGGCCCCUGCGCCUGUAAAAAGUUUUAUUCCAGAGGAGGUUUAGUUUCCU